UACAAAUUGACAUCUGAUGCUUUAACAUUGGGUAUUUAUUUUAAUGAUGACUAAUAUUUUAAGAGGCUGAGAGAAGGCUGUAGAGACACUGUAAUAAGUGCUUGGGCAUGAGAAAUUAGGAAGACCACAGUUACGAGUAAUGAAAUGCGGAAGCCGAUGCAAAGCUACUGCCCCCAUUUGUUUAGCAGAAGGCAAGAUAGGAGGCCUCUGACAGUACAAGCGUGUUCGUAAAUAUUUGGGUGAUGUCAUGCAUUCCCCAUGCAUUGGUUUUCAUGAGUGGUUUCAGUGAGUUUUUGGGCAAGUCUGAUAUUAGUGAUCCACAGGCAGCAGGCAGCUUCCUGUACAGAGCUACCUCCACCCCUUGGACAGUCCAGGACUGAAUGGUUGUCAAAAAUGUGAACUCCUUGAUGACCAGUAAAGGCAACUGAGAGAACUGUGUAGCAUUGGUGUAAAAAGUGCACUUUCCUAAGGAGCAUGAACUUAGAGUAAUCAAAGGCUGUGGCAACAGUGGAACCCAGCAGGGCAUCCACUCGCUGCUUUGUAACUUAAAUAGGAAUUCUUUGAGGAGCUCAGUCUCUCAACUAAAGCAGCUGCCUGCAGCCUAUAGGGGCAGUGGAAGCUCUACUGGACACCUUCUUCACAAGCCCAGCACUGUGUUUUCUGAUGAAAUGUUGCCUUGGUCACCAUCAGUAGUGUCUGGAACUCUGCAGGGGAUAAGGAGUGUCCCUGUGAGAUCCGUACUGUGUACUUAGUUAAAAUAAAAGCAUCUGUUGCCUUGAUUGGUAUUCUGAGUAUCCAUGAGACAAGAAGUUUCUUUAGUUCAAUGGGGAGGGGAGGUGGACAAUUCUUGGAAAUUGCCAAAAGGUUUGUAAAAAUGUACAAAUGGGGCUAAUUGUUGGCCCAGCAUCAGUGCUGAGACGACC
This 923-nucleotide long non-coding RNA is filed under the name Homo sapiens (human). RNAcentral's name for it is "HSALNT0082721". Lineage: Eukaryota; Metazoa; Chordata; Mammalia; Primates; Hominidae. The record is from RNAcentral.